Molecule: ribosomal RNA, 630 nt
Filed under: uncultured bacterium
Lineage: Bacteria
Description: bacterial SSU rRNA
Rfam family: Bacterial small subunit ribosomal RNA
Source: RNAcentral
CGCGGCCUAUCAGCUUGUUGGUGAGGUAAUGGCUCACCAAGGCGACGACGGGUAGCCGGCCUGAGAGGGCGACCGGCCACACUGGGACUGAGACACGGCCCAGACUCCUACGGGAGGCAGCAGUGGGGAAUAUUGCACAAUGGGCGAAAGCCUGAUGCAGCGACGCCGCGUGAGGGAUGACGGCCUUCGGGUUGUAAACCUCUUUCAGCAGGGAAGAAGCGAAAGUGACGGUACCUGCAGAAGAAGCGCCGGCUAACUACGUGCCAGCAGCCGCGGUAAUACGUAGGGCGCAAGCGUUGUCCGGAAUUAUUGGGCGUAAAGAGCUCGUAGGCGGUCUGUCGCGUCGGAUGUGAAAGCCCGGGGCUUAACCCCGGGUCUGCAUUCGAUACGGGCAGACUAGAGUGUGGUAGGGGAGAUCGGAAUUCCUGGUGUAGCGGUGAGAUGCGCAGAUAUCAGGAGGAACACCGGUGGCGAAGGCGGAUCUCUGGGCCAUUACUGACGCUGAGGAGCGAAAGCGUGGGGAGCGAACAGGAUUAGAUACCCUAGUAGUCCACGCCGUAAACGGUGGGAACUAGGUGUUGGCGACAUUCCACGUCGUCGGUGCCGCAGCUAACGCAUUAAGUUCCCCGC